Pieris brassicae (large cabbage white) is the source of this 3154-nucleotide long non-coding RNA. RefSeq lists it as uncharacterized. The record is from RefSeq and is a predicted model, not a curated record. The transcript is spliced from 7 exons. NCBI's taxonomy places the organism in Eukaryota, Metazoa, Arthropoda, Insecta, Lepidoptera, Pieridae.
UUCAUCGCUAAAUCAAAUAAAAAACUUAUUUAAUCGUAUCGGUAACAAGAAACACUUAUGAAUGUUAAUAUAAAUUGGGACAUGCGAGAAGAACAUUAGUAUGUUCUUCUAUGACUGACUGACUGACUUAAUGAAUAUACAUUGGUAGUCUACUAUCUAUUCGAUACGUUACGUUUUUAUAUUAUCUACUCUAUUCUACGUAUCAGCAGCACCCGCAAACUUCGUCUCCCCUUAAGAUUUUUUACUUAGACUACCUUCUUUGUAGUUAUAUAGCAACAUACGUAACAUUACUCGAAUUGGUUCAUCUGUCUUCCAUUUUUAUUUCGAUAGAUAACGAUACCCUUUUAAUCACAAGAAAAUUUUAAGGAACUGUAACUAUUGCGUCAAGUAUCACGGUAAAUGUAAAAAUAAUAAACUAGCAAACGCUUAGCAUGAGCGGUCGAAAUAGAAGCAAGCACAUAGUGUGAACAAAACACAAACACGUAUUUAAACGCCGACAAAUUUUAAAGGUCACGGACUUAGUGGUUUUCAAAGUCAAGGUUAACAGCUGACAUGAAACGUUAUCAAUUUUUAACGUGUUAUCUGUGUAUGAUUAGAUGUACUCUGCGUAAAUGUAAAGUUAAUACAUGUAAUGUAUUUAUUUAAAAGCAUUGGUGUGAAUCUGAACAAAAUCAAAGUAAUAGAGAACUUAGAUAUAGAGAAUUAGAGAGAAGACUAAAUUAAUAUAACAAAAAACAAACAAAAACAAUAACUAACUUGAAAUAUAAUAACUAAAAUAUACUUUAAAAGGAGCCCCAUUUAGGCAAGUUUCCAAUGAUACUGGUACCGUUUCUCCUUUGAAUAGCUAGACUAAUGUUUUGUCCGAGGUAACUGCCAGCUCUUCGGUCUCCUGUGAUGGGCGCUAUGACCCCACGGACCUAGGGGCUCGACACCGAAUGUGACAAAAUCGUAUUCGGAGCCUAGACCUCCGUAUAUGCAUGGUUUAAUAUAAUAAACUAUUUAUGUAGAUUAUGAAUUACUACCUAUAAGACUAAUAGGUAGACAAGAAGUAAGACUUUAAGGAUGGCUCGCGAAUCGUGAAUUAACGCUGAAUACGCUUUUCGAUCAAUUUGGACCUAUUGUACGAUUGGAAGGAAAAUUGAGAGCGCCAACACUGAUAUUCAUUUUAGAUGCAGAGGCCGCUGCGCUUAUAUUAAGAAGCGAAAACUGGAUGCCGGUUCGUCCCGGAUUUAGGAGUUAAUACAGGAAGAAAAUUAUUCCCUGCAAUUCUGAUCAAUUAACGGGCCUUUUAACUGAGUAAGAAUCUUAACCGUUUACAAUCCUUUACAGCUGAAACUUCAUUGUACCGGAAGUUGGUCGAAACUUGUUGUUUUAAACGGAUAUUGAUGUAAUCAAGCUUAAUUAUAGUACAAGAUUUAUAUUUUCUUUAUUUGUAAAAAUUACCGUUACCUGGAGGGUAUGCGGGUAUGGCAUAAAAUUAUUAAUUUCUUUUAUAUCUUAUUAAUUAUAUAUGCAUUCGUUAGCUUGACCAUGUGUCAAGCGCGUUGUCUGUUUCCAUUUAUUUCAAAACCCAGGGUGAUAUUUAAUUCUGUCAAUUAAAAACUUCAAAGUUGGUUCCAUCAUUGGAGAGUUACAGAGUACGGAUACUGAACCUGUUAGUAUUACUUCACCGUAGGAGUGCCUAUGUUGUUUCGCAGAUUCCAAUGUAUGCAUUGCCUAGAUUCAAAUGCAGGACACUGGUAAGGCAUUUAAAGUUUUAAAACUGAAUUCACAUUAUUUAAUACAUUGAAAUAAAUCUAGAAAGAUCUGCCGCGUAUUCAAAGACAAAAAAUAAUAAUGAACAAUUUUACAAUCAUGGUGAACCAUUGAAAAAAUUCCAUUCAAUAGUAAACCCAAUAAUGAUGCAUUCGAAAACUAUUUAACUGUACAGCAAAAUAUUGAACGAAGUGUCAGAUGAUAUAGUUACAAGGUAAUAAUUGCUUGUCAAAAUGUAGAUUCACCUAGUUAUCAAUGUCUUGAACAUAAAUAAUAAUAAAGAAAUCAAACCGAUAUUUAUUUCAGAAUUCAUAUUACAAAAGUAAGAAUUAAAAAUCACUUGUGACACACACCAAGUGACACCAAAAUCUGAUGAGUUCUAAAAAUACUCAAAAAAAUGUCCAUAUACUCGUAGAUUUAAUUUUUUUCAGUAACCGACAGAUAAUAGUAAAAUUAAAUAACACUAUUUCAAAGUCAUAGACCUACAAUAAUACCAUAGGUAUGACGACAACGACAAAUAUUUAAAAACGACUGUAUAUUUUUCGGUGUUGUAAUAUCGUUAUGGGCUUUGGAAACGAUUAGUGUAGUGGCUCUUGGUGGUUGAAUAAACUGUCUUGAUCUAAAUCUACCAGAAGAUUCUCCCGCCCGAAGACUCAAAUUGCCAAUGAUAUAUUUGUUCUGAUAAACAAAUUGGCCUUUAGACCAAGUUUAUGGCGAUACAUUUUAACACGGAACUAUAAAAAGCUAAUGAAUUGUUAUGCUGAGCAAAAAAGCAUAAGCGAGUAAGGCGAUUGAAGAAUAUAAAUCUAAGGGAAACAAAGAUGAUGAAGAGAAAAGCGUUCUUGAGAAACUUUUGGAAAUAGAUGAGGAAGUGGCCGUCAUCAUGGCGACAGACUUGCUAUUUGCUGGUGUGGACACAUCUGCACACACAAUGUUAGCAACAUUAUACCUACUAGCGAAAAAUAAAGAUAAUCAAGAAAAACUAAGAGACGAAAUAAUGUCUCAGAACGAGAUGAAACCCUACUUGAAAGACUGCAAUAAAGAAUCCUUACGUGUAAUGCCUAUUGUGGCUGGAAAUCUGAGGAUGACCAAUAAAGAUUAUAAUAUUUUAGCUUAUAAUUUUCCCGAAAAACACUUCAGUAACAUUUACUUAUAAAUUUUUGUCAACGAGUGAGCAACAUUUUCUACGUUCAAAAGAAUUCAUUCCUGAACGUUGGCUGGUUGAAAAACUCAUGCCUUACAUUGUGGAAGGGCACACCUAUUUGCGCACAACCCUUUUGGCUUCGGCGUUAGGAGCCGUUUAGGUCGCCGAAUUGCUUAGUUAGAACUGGAGAUUCUAAUUUCAAAUAUACUGAAGAACUUUAGAGUGGAUUGGAUAGGAUCACCUGCUAAAACCAAA